This 497-nucleotide ribosomal RNA is filed under the name uncultured bacterium. RNAcentral describes it as "partial 16S ribosomal RNA". It matches the Rfam family "Bacterial small subunit ribosomal RNA", at positions 28 to 507 of the family's 1533-position model. The record is from RNAcentral.
GAUGAACGCUGGCGGCGUGCCUAAUACAUGCAAGUCGAGCGAACAGACGAGGAGCUUGCUCCUCUGACGUUAGCGGCGGACGGGUGAGUAACACGUGGAUAACCUACCUAUAAGACUGGGGUAACUUCGGGAAACCGGAGCUAAUACCGGAUAAUAUAUUGAACCGCAUGGUUCAAUAGUGAAAGACGGUUUUGCUGUCACUUAUAGAUGGAUCCGCGCCGCAUUAGCUAGUUGGUAAGGUAACGGCUUACCAAGGCAACGAUGCGUAGCCGACCUGAGAGGGUGAUCGGCCACACUGGAACUGAGACACGGUCCAGACUCCUACGGGAGGCAGCAGUAGGGAAUCUUCUGCAAUGGGCGAAAGCCUGACGGAGCAACGCCGCGUGAGUGAUGAAGGUCUUCGGAUCGUAAAACUCUGUUAUUAGGGAAGAACAAAUGUGUAAGUAACUAUGCACGUCUUGACGGUACCUAAUCAGAAAGCCACGGCUAACUACGUG